AAUCUUACGCAAUGUAUGAGAGGCUGACGGAGUAUCGCCGCGUGAGUGCUUUAGGGAUUCUGUUCGUAAAACUCUGUUGUUAGGGAAAAACAAGUUCCGGCGUCACUGCCGGUACCUUCACGGUACCGAAAUAGACAGCUACGCCUAACUACGUUCCUGCAGCCGCGGUAAUACGUAGGUGGCAAGCGUUGUACGAAUUUGUGGGGCGUAAAGCGCGCGCAGGCGGUCAUUUAAGACUGAUGAGAAAUCUUACAGCGUAACUGUAAGCGGUCAUUGGAAACUGGGAGACUUGAGUGCAGAAGAGGAGAGUGGAAUUCCAUGUGUAGCGGUGAAAUGCGUAGAGAUAUGGAGGAACACCAGUGGCGAAGGCGACUCUCUGGUCUGUAACUGACGCUGAGGCGCGAAAGCGUGGGGAUCAAACA
This 422-nucleotide ribosomal RNA is filed under the name uncultured bacterium. RNAcentral describes it as "partial 16S ribosomal RNA". It matches the Rfam family "Bacterial small subunit ribosomal RNA", at positions 360 to 774 of the family's 1533-position model. The record is from RNAcentral.